AGAGUUUGAUCCUGGGUCAGAUUGAACGCUAGCGGGAUGCUUUACACAUGCAAGUCGAACGGCAGCGCGAGAGAGCUUGCUCUCUUGGCGGCGAGUGGCGGACGGGUGAGUAAUAUAUCGGAACGUGCCCAGUAGCGGGGGAUAACUACUCGAAAGAGUGGCUAAUACCGCAUACGCCCUACGGGGGAAAGGGGGGGAUCGCAAGACCUCUCACUAUUGGAGCGGCCGAUAUCGGAUUAGCUAGUUGGUGGGGUAAAGGCUCACCAAGGCAACGAUCCGUAGCUGGUUUGAGAGGACGACCAGCCACACUGGGACUGAGACACGGCCCAGACUCCUACGGGAGGCAGCAGUGGGGAAUUUUGGACAAUGGGGGAAACCCUGAUCCAGCCAUCCCGCGUGUAUGAUGAAGGCCUUCGGGUUGUAAAGUACUUUUGGCAGAGAAGAAAAGGUAUCCCCUAAUACGGGAUACUGCUGACGGUAUCUGCAGAAUAAGCACCGGCUAACUACGUGCCAGCACCGCGGUAAUAC
This 528-nucleotide ribosomal RNA is filed under the name Alcaligenes faecalis. RNAcentral's name for it is "bacterial SSU rRNA". It matches the Rfam family "Bacterial small subunit ribosomal RNA", at positions 8 to 526 of the family's 1533-position model. The record is from RNAcentral. Lineage: Bacteria; Pseudomonadati; Pseudomonadota; Betaproteobacteria; Burkholderiales; Alcaligenaceae.